CAUUUAUUAGAACAAAACCAAUUGGCCUCGGCCAUACAUUGGUGAAUCUGAAUAACUACGCGGAUCGCAUGGUCUCGCACCGGCGACGUAUCCUUCAAGUGUCUGCCUUGUCAACUUUCGACGGUAGUUUACAUAACUACCAUGGUUGUAACGGGUAUCGGAGAAUUAGGGUUCGACUCCGGAGAGGGAGCCUGAGAAACGGCUACCACAACCAAGGAAGGCAGCAGGCACGCAAAUUACCCACUCCCCGAACGGGGAGGUAGUGACGAGAAAUAACAAUACGGGAUUCUAAUGAAGCCCCGUAAUUGGAAUGAGAACAAUCUAAAUCCUUUAACGAGGAUCGAUUGGAGGGCAAGUCUGGUGCCAGCAGCCGCGGUAAUUCCAGCUCCAAUAGCGUAUAUUAAAGUUGUUGCAGUUAAAAAGCUCGUAGUUUGAUUUCUGGACGGGCGCCAACACCCGCUUGUUUAGUGUGGAGGCGGCGCCCGCCCAUCCUUCUGUUAGCGCCACCGGCAUUCAUUUGCUGGCGGCGGGCUCAGAUAUUUUACCUUGAGAAAAUUAGAGUGUUUCAGGCAGGCU
This 576-nucleotide ribosomal RNA is filed under the name uncultured eukaryote. RNAcentral's name for it is "bacterial SSU rRNA". It matches the Rfam family "Eukaryotic small subunit ribosomal RNA", at positions 203 to 786 of the family's 1831-position model. The record is from RNAcentral.